Non-coding RNA from Pelodiscus sinensis (Chinese soft-shelled turtle), 2228 nucleotides. The record is from RefSeq and is a predicted model, not a curated record. Lineage: Eukaryota; Metazoa; Chordata; Testudines; Trionychidae.
UUUUUUUCUUCUUUGAGGUGUGUCCUUGUGGGUGCUCCACCUUAGGUAAUUAUGGAGCAGUACCCAUGAUAAGAGGUGGGUGCUUCAGCUAAUUAGUAUCAUCGCACAGCAGCUAGAACAGUAUGUGCAAACUGAGUACCAUGGGACAGGUAAGUAUCAAGAGCAUAGUGUCUAGAAAACAUGAACAGAAGACCACAUUGCUGAUGUACAAAUGUCCAUGAGAGGUAUGUUAUGCAGGUAAACUGCAGAAGCCACCAUGGUCUUUGUAGAGUGUAUAUGUUGUUGUAAUGGAGGCUCUCGGCCAAAGAUGGAGCAGGCCAGUCUGAUGCAGUUCACUAUCCACAUGGAUAGUCUCUGAGUAGAAAUUGGUGUGCCCAAGGAUCUUUUUGUGAUAGAGACAAACAGUCUAGUUGACUUAAGGAUUUGCUUGGUCUGGUCCAAAUAAAAGGCAAUUGCCUUGAAGACAUCGAGUAUGUGCCAUGCAGCCUCCUUAUUAUCAGUGUUAAGCUUCGGAAAGAAGACAGGUAAGAUUAUGGGUUCAUUACAAUGAAAUCAGUGGAGACCUUGGGAGAAACUUUGGUGAAGACAGAGAAUGACUUAGUCUUUAUGGAAAACCAUGAAGGGAGGAUCCAUCAUCAGUAUGCCGGUCUCCUGACCAAUGUGAUGACUGCUAAUAAGACUAUCUUCAUAGAAAGGUGGAACAUGUUACCAUGGGUUCAAAUGGUUUACGGGUGGGAGCCUAAAGCACUAAAUCAAGGUCCCAAGCUGGAACAGGGGGCCUGAUAGGUGGGUACAUGUUCUGCAUGCCUUCGAGGAAGCUCUUGGUCAUUGGGUAAAUGAAGACAGAUUUGUUGUCAAUGGGCAGAUGAAAGGCUGUUAUAGUUGCAAGGUGAACCUUUAAAGAGCAUUUUUGUUCAGACCAAAGUGAGAAUCUUCUCCACUUGUAAAGGUAAGACAUUCUGGUUGUUAAUUUGCAACUGUUUAAUAAAAUGUGUUUGACUUGAUCAGUGAAUGUUGUUUCUUCUGAGGUGAGCCAUUGAGAAACAUACCUGGAGGUGAAGUAUUUGUAGGCCUGGGUGACAGACUUGGCCUCCCUCUUGUGUCAGGAGAUGGGGAAGCAACAGAAACCACCAUGGCCUUCUCCUGAAGCAGGUUGUACUCCUGUGGAGACCAACAUCUUUGGAUCCUGAGAGAACCUGAGGGUGCUCCCCAGCUCAGAAGAGAGGCAACCAUCAUGAUGUCAUGGACAGGGGUCAUUUGUGAUAAGGACUCUGGAAAUGAGCAUGGUGGGCGGAAAGGUGUAAAGUAGUGGACCUGUCCCAACUGAGAAGAAAGGCGUCUUUCAGAGAAUUUCUGCCAAUCCCAGCUCUGGAACAGUACUGUCAACAUUUUGAGUUUUUCUGGGAAGCAAAGAGAUCUAUUUGUGGAAAACCCCGGAGACAGAAGAUGUGCCAGAGAACGUCUUCCAUUUGUGAUUUGGUGCAAAUUGUCUGCUUAACGUCAUGGUCACCAACCCGUCAAUCGGGAUCGACUGGUUGAUCGGGAGGGCUCAACCAGUCAAUUGCGAGGUGUUUGGGUGCCCCCCAUUUCCUGCCACCCCCAAGAAGCCCCACUAUCUACCUUCAGCGACAAUGGAGGUAGUGCCGGCUUCCUGUGGGGUAGAAGGAAGUCCAGCAGCUGCAUGCCACUUCCAGGGUUUCAGGAAGUGCGCUGGUUGCUCUCCCUCCCCUAAACAGCAGGCACAGUACCACAACCCAGAUCUGAGACAUGCUGGGGACUUGCUGCGGGGUGAGGGUUAGGAGUCCCCAGAGGAAGCCCAUGAUGGGGCUUCCUUCCUCAGAGGGGGAGGGGGAGGAGUCCCGUGAGGAGUCACAUGCAGGGGCUUCCCUCCUCUGCGGGGGGGGAGAGGGUUUAGGAGCCCCCAGAGGAGGCGUACACCGGGGCUUCCCUCCUUUGUGGAGGGUGGUAGUGGAGAGGGGAGGAAUCCCCAGAGGAAGUGCACUCCAGAGCUUCCCUCCUCUGCGGGGGGGCGGAGGCAGGAGGAGUCCUGGGAGGAGGUGCAUGCCGGGGCUUUCCUCCUCUGUGGGGAGGACAGGGUGGCGGGCAGGAAGGAGUCCUGGGAGGAGGUGUGUGCUGGGGCUUCCCUUCUCUGCAGGCGGUGGAGGUUAGGAGUCCCCAGAGGAGACACGUAUUGGAGACUCCCUGUCCCCAGCCCCCACUGGCACCCU